GGUAGUGUGGCCGAGAACUAGCUGGCGAGUUGUAGCCCCGCCGAGGGGUAGCAAAGGCACCCCCACUAUCA
Molecule: transfer RNA, 71 nt
Filed under: Hemiphyllodactylus ywanganensis
Lineage: Eukaryota; Metazoa; Chordata; Lepidosauria; Squamata; Gekkonidae
Description: partial tRNA-Tyr
Source: RNAcentral